Nerophis lumbriciformis (worm pipefish) is the source of this 198-nucleotide small nuclear RNA. RefSeq annotates it as U2 spliceosomal RNA. NCBI's taxonomy places the organism in Eukaryota, Metazoa, Chordata, Actinopteri, Syngnathiformes, Syngnathidae. The record is from RefSeq and is a predicted model, not a curated record.
AACGCUUCUCUGCCUUUAGACCAAGAUUAAGUGCAGCGUCUGUUCUACUCAGUUAAUAUCGUAUAUGUACCCUACUUGGGGAUUAUAUUUUAAAUUGAUUUUUUGGAACAAGGAGAUGGAAUAGGGGCUUUCUAUGUCCACUCCAUGCGUUGACCUGAUAUCGCAGUACUCUCUCUCUCUCUCGUCAGAGUCAAAUAA